AUUUAAAUGACUUAUGGUUUGAAUUUCAUUUUUUAUGACAUAUUUAUGCUUUGAAUUUCAUGUUUGUAUUGUUUUAGAAAACUUAAAAUAUAGUAACUAGUAUAGUCCUACAGACUAUAAGCAUGGUGCUUUUUUAAUCAACAUUCUCAGUCCCCAUUUACUUUGACUGUAUGAAUAGCAGCAUGAAUUAAAAUGCUUAUUUUGUGUUUCACAGAAGAAAGUAAGUUGUGCAUGUUUUGAAGCAAUGUUAGGGUAAGUAAAUGAUGACAUCAAAUAAAAAGUGUAAAAGAAUAAUACAUUUUUGGGUGAACUCUGCAUACAUUUCAGUGUAAACCUCCACAAUCGAUGUCCUACAAAUGAGUUGAGCAGUGAUUUUGUUUGCUGUGCUCUCCUCCUUCGUCUUUGUGCUCUAGCAGGUGUAGUGUAAAGCUGUAAAAGGAUGUAUUGAUUCUUCUCAUCUGGAUGUCAGUGUGUAAGAAAAUCUGCCGGAUGGAACACACAGUGUGUCAUUGCAGCAGUGGGAUAGGACACAGGAAAAGGAAGAUCCUCUUAAUUGAGAUUGGAUGAAUCGAGUCCUUUGUGAAGGAAGGAGGGCCUCAUCGUGGGAUGGAAUUUCAGCUCUUGGCUCGUCAUCUCUGAAGUGGCCAGAGAUUAUCUGUUUGUUUGGGGUAUUGAUCCGUCACUUGAGCCUGCUUGUUGGAACUGUAUACACGUUCAGAUGGGACUUUCACCGGGGUUAAAUUCAGACCUCCGAGGCCCCGCUGCUUAACUCUGAGCGACAGCAUUUAGAACUUAAUGACAAGCGUCUUAGAGUCCGUACGGGAUGACUAAUUCAACUCGAUGGUCAGUUUUAACUCACAGAAGUGCCCUCUUCACUUCCCUUCUCCAUGUGAGCUGUUCACCCUGUCCAAUUCAUUAGCCACUGUGGG
Molecule: long non-coding RNA, 929 nt
Organism: Cyprinus carpio carpio
Lineage: Eukaryota; Metazoa; Chordata; Actinopteri; Cypriniformes; Cyprinidae
Source: Ensembl